Molecule: ribosomal RNA, 450 nt
Filed under: uncultured bacterium
Lineage: Bacteria
Description: bacterial SSU rRNA
Rfam family: Bacterial small subunit ribosomal RNA
Source: RNAcentral
GUGGGGAAUAUUGGACAAUGGGCGCAGGCCUGAUCCAGCCAUGCCGCGUGUGUGAAGAAGGCCUUCGGGUUGUAAAGCACUUUUGUCCGGGAAGAAAUCUUCCAGGUUAAUACCCUGGGAGGCUGACGGUACCGGAAGAAUAAGCACCGGCUAACUUCGUGCCAGCAGCCGCGGUAAUACGAAGGGUGCAAGCGUUACUCGGAAUUACUGGGCGUAAAGCGUGCGUAGGUGGUUCGUUAAGUCUGCCGUGAAAGCCCCGGGCUCAACCUGGGAAUGGCGGUGGAUACUGGCGGGCUAGAGUGCGGUAGAGGGUGGUGGAAUUCCCGGUGUAGCAGUGAAAUGCGUAGAGAUCGGGAGGAACAUCUGUGGCGAAGGCGGCCACCUGGACCAGCACUGACACUGAGGCACGAAAGCGUGGGGAGCAAACAGGAUUAGAAACCCGAGUAGUCC